This 252-nucleotide ribosomal RNA is filed under the name Hepatozoon felis. RNAcentral describes it as "partial small subunit ribosomal RNA". It matches the Rfam family "Eukaryotic small subunit ribosomal RNA", at positions 567 to 817 of the family's 1831-position model. Lineage: Eukaryota; Apicomplexa; Hepatozoidae. The record is from RNAcentral.
CCAGCAGCCGCGGUAAUUCCAGCUCCAAUAGCGUAUAUUAAAAUUGUUGCAGUUAAAAAGCUCGUAGUUGAAUUUCUGCUAAAAAUAACCGGUCUGCUUUUAAUAAAGGUGGUAUCUUGGUGUGUUUUUAGCAAUAAUGUCCUUUGAAAUGUUUUUUACUUCAUUGUAAUAAAUUAUUUUCAGGAUUUUUACUUUGAGAAAAUUAGAGUGUUUCUAGCAGGCUAACGCUUUGAAUACUGCAGCAUGGAAUAA